GAAUCGUCAAAAUUAGUCGCAAUUGAUUGUUGUUCUAAUACCGCGGUAAUUUUCAUUGGCCGUGUGUAGUAUUUUUGAAACGGUCUAUUCAAAUGUCUGCGUUUCAUUGGGUAUGAUUUUAUUUUCCGCUGCACUGUGUGAAUGGGUCUUAACGGUUUUGAACACAUUAAACAUAUGAUUGAAUUAGAUACAGACAUUGCAAGUUUCUGUUGACAAACAAUAUAGAUGUUAUUUAAGUUUACAGUUUUUUUAUUAUUUCUCAGCGAUAGAGAUCAGGGCAAUAUUUGAACAUAAGCUUCAUAGGCUGUAGGCUGAAG
Non-coding RNA from Cinara cedri, 317 nucleotides. The record is from the annotation of a GenBank genome assembly. Lineage: Eukaryota; Metazoa; Arthropoda; Insecta; Hemiptera; Aphididae.